Molecule: ribosomal RNA, 476 nt
Filed under: Colletotrichum crassipes
Lineage: Eukaryota; Fungi; Ascomycota; Sordariomycetes; Glomerellales; Glomerellaceae
Description: eukaryotic LSU rRNA
Rfam family: Eukaryotic large subunit ribosomal RNA
Source: RNAcentral
UGAAAUCUGGCCCCAGGCCCGAGUUGUAAUUUGCAGAGGAUGCUUUUGGUGAGGUGCCUUCCAAGUUCCCUAGAACGGGACGCCAGAGAGGGUGAGAGCCCCGUACAGUUGGACACCGAGCCUUUGUAAAGCUCCUUCGACGAGUCGAGUAGUUUGGGAAUGCUGCUCAAAAUGGGAGGUAUAUUUCUUCUAAAGCUAAAUACCGGCCAGAGACCGAUAGCGCACAAGUAGAGUGAUCGAAAGAUGAAAAGCACUUUGAAAAGAGGGUUAAACAGCACGUGAAAUUGUUAAAAGGGAAGCGCUUGUGACCAGACUUGCGUCCGGUGAAUCACCCAGCUCUCGCGGCUGGGGCACUUCGCCGGCUCAGGCCAGCAUCAGCUCGCUGUCGGGGACAAAAGCUUCAGGAACGUAGCUCUCUUCGGGGAGUGUUAUAGCCUGUUGCAUAAUACCCUUCGGCGGGCUGAGGUACGCGCUCC